Molecule: ribosomal RNA, 169 nt
Filed under: Paraluteres prionurus (blacksaddle filefish)
Lineage: Eukaryota; Metazoa; Chordata; Actinopteri; Tetraodontiformes; Monacanthidae
Description: partial 12S rRNA
Source: RNAcentral
CACCGCGGUUAUACGAGAGGCCCAAGCUGAUAGAUACCGGCGUAAAGCGUGGUUAGGAGUACUUAAAAAUUAAAGUCGAAUGUCUCCAAGGCUGUUAUACGCAACCGGAAACUAGAAGAACAACAACGAAAGUGACUUUACAAUUUCUGAACCCACGAAAGCUAAGGCA